UACGUAGGGUGCGAGCGUUGUCCGGAAUUACUGGGCGUAAAGAGCUCGUAGGUGGUUUGUCGCGUUGUCCGUGAAAUUCCCUGGCUUAACUGGGGGCGUGCGGGCGAUACUGAUCGACUCGAAGGCAGGAGAGGGAAGUGGAAUUCCCGGUGUAGUGGUGAAAUGCGUAGAUAUCGGGAGGAACACCAGUGGCGAAGGCGACUUCCUGGCCUGUUCUUGACGCUGAGGCGCGAAAGCUAGGGGAGCAAACGGG
RNAcentral lists this ribosomal RNA (253 nucleotides) under uncultured bacterium. RNAcentral's name for it is "partial 16S ribosomal RNA". It matches the Rfam family "Bacterial small subunit ribosomal RNA", at positions 524 to 776 of the family's 1533-position model. The record is from RNAcentral.